CAGUGUGUACCGGAUUAUAGUAGACAAAAAUACCCUCAUUUAUCAUGGAUUCUAAGUUUUAAGGUCAAGGAUAUUUAAAUAAUUUUCAUUUUCAAAACUAAAAAAAAAAAAAAACCCCCAAACCCUUACUCACCUCCCUCAUUCCUCUCAACCCUUUCUCUUUCAUUUCUCUCACUCUAACAUUUUCUCUGUCAUCCCUAUUGCCCCAAUCGAAAAAAAAAAUCAGAAAC
Molecule: long non-coding RNA, 230 nt
Filed under: Vigna radiata
Lineage: Eukaryota; Viridiplantae; Streptophyta; Magnoliopsida; Fabales; Fabaceae
Description: long non-coding RNA (VRAD_LNC011243)
Source: RNAcentral